Molecule: non-coding RNA, 184 nt
Filed under: Caldanaerobius fijiensis
Lineage: Bacteria; Bacillati; Bacillota; Clostridia; Thermoanaerobacterales; Thermoanaerobacteraceae
Also listed under: 1 other name
Source: RNAcentral
AACUUAAUAGCAUAAACAGGUGCCUCGAUAGUCCGAGGAGAAUAGGGAAGACGGGUGAGAUUCCCGCGCGGUCCCGCCGCUGUAUGCGAGGAGCUUUCCUCAAAAUGCCACUGGUUUUUCCCGGGAAGGCGAGGAAAUGCGAUGAUCCGCAAGCCAGAAGACCUGCCUGUUUAGGUGUCAUCUU